CAAGGUGACCUACGCUUAGAAGUCUAUAAGGAUCCAAUGGAUCCACAAGUCUGAGUGCAUGACUGUUCCCGCAUUCUGAUGAGUCCAAUAGCAUAGUGAAAGAAGUGAUGCUUAUGUUUUGUUUUAUAUUUUGUAGUCACUUCUAGCCUCAGUAUAUGUAUGUAUUGGAAUUCAUAUGUAUUUGUAAGGGAUUUGUAAUAAUUUUAUUUCGCUGCAUAAAUUUUAUCAUGCACUCGCUAUUCUAAAUCUGUAUCUGAUAUCCAUUUGCCUUAAUUAGCACUUGGGAUGUCACAGCCACCGUAGUUUUUUCCUUAAAGAUCCGGUGCCAUUAUCUAU
Molecule: long non-coding RNA, 336 nt
Filed under: Carica papaya (papaya)
Lineage: Eukaryota; Viridiplantae; Streptophyta; Magnoliopsida; Brassicales; Caricaceae
Description: long non-coding RNA (CPAP_LNC013944)
Source: RNAcentral